Molecule: ribosomal RNA, 229 nt
Filed under: uncultured bacterium
Lineage: Bacteria
Description: partial 16S ribosomal RNA
Rfam family: Bacterial small subunit ribosomal RNA
Source: RNAcentral
UGCGUAGGCGGAUUAAUAAGUCAGUGGUGAAAACCUUCAGCUUAACUGGAGAACUGCCAUUGAUACUGUUAGUCUUGAGUACGGUCAAGGUAGGCGGAAUGUGUAAUGUAGCGGUGAAAUGCUUAGAUAUUACACAGAACACCGAUUGCGAAGGCAGCUUACUGGGCCAUUACUGACGCUGAUGCACGAAAGCGUGGGGAGCGAACAGGAUUAGAUACCCUGGUAGUCC